Molecule: long non-coding RNA, 319 nt
Organism: Arabidopsis thaliana (thale cress)
Lineage: Eukaryota; Viridiplantae; Streptophyta; Magnoliopsida; Brassicales; Brassicaceae
Product: other RNA
Exons: 1
Source: RefSeq
AUUUGUCGUGUAGCAUUACGUUCGAAAUCGCAAUUUGUUUUCUUCUUUGUGGGUGUAUAUUUCUGGUUAACGAAACUAUAACCCAAUUUAAUGCAAUGUUCGUCUGUUUUUGUUGACUUUGACCCUUUUUUGGUAAUAUUCGUUCAGCUUUUGUUUUAACGUUUUCAUUGCCUUGUAGGCAUCUGAGAAGCUCAGAUUCUGACACGUGUCUUUUGUUAUCUGAAUUUGCAUCCGUUGGAUAAACAUGACGCUGACAGGUGGAUUGAAAAGUAACCAGCUUGGAUUUCUGUGUAUAUGUUACACCGCCACUUCCCUUAAU